UCGCUUUGACGCAACCUGCAAUGUUAAAGGCGGUUGUAGUUCACGAUUUGUAGCAAGCAGAAGAAGUCGAAGCUCUCCCUCUUGAAUCUAGCUCCUCUAAUCCAAAACUGAUUCGUAUCCUGUAGCGUUUUUCUUUUCAUUUUCUCUUCGGAAGAAUCAAAUCGUCUUCGGAAAUUAAUUAUUUGUUUCCCCAAAUUGGAUUUCACUGUCUGCUUACUGAGUUUGAAGUUAUGCUCUAGAUUUCUGAUUAAGACACUUUUUAAGUAACAUUCUUGUAAAUUUCGAAUUGCAGAUUGGAACGACUAUGUUUUACUCGGUGAAAUUUGAGUGUUCUGCUUCCAAUUCUAUUGGAGUGAAAUUGGCAUUUGGUAAUAUGGUUCGAGGGUCUGGCCCAGACCAUCAGGGACUCGAUCACCUAGCAGGAAGAGGAUUGUGGUUUCAACCAAUGUGGAAGCUUCUCCACUCAAUUCGAGUUCAGCGACACCAUUGAAGAGAAUCCGUAGCAGGACAUUCACUCUGAACUCUGAAAGGUCUCAUCUCGAAGCCCUGCCUCAGGACAUUCUUAUCAUGAAGAUUUGAAACAGCUUUGUCUUGUAUCGAAGACGAUAAAAGAAGCAGCUCUUAUGACGAAGCCAUGGCAUUUCGAAUAUAUUACUCCGAAGAAAACUUUCAUCUCUGAAGAAAUUGAAGCUUGGAAUGCUCCACGGAGGAAAUCCAAAUCAAGGCUAAGUGGGAUGCAAGUUAUCUGACAUCUCAGUUGCCAUAUUUGCUUAGAGCACUGAAUUCAGAUUCUGUGUAAUGUAAGUAAAUCGAUGGGUAGAAUAUGCUGGCUGUAGAUUAAAUAGGAGUACUUGGAGGGGAGAAGAUCUUUAAU
Molecule: long non-coding RNA, 874 nt
Organism: Prosopis cineraria
Lineage: Eukaryota; Viridiplantae; Streptophyta; Magnoliopsida; Fabales; Fabaceae
Exons: 3
Source: RefSeq, a predicted model, not a curated record